GUGCUUGCUUCGGCAGCCCAUAUAUUAAAAUUGGAACGAUACAGAGAAGAUUAGCAUGGCCCCUGCGUAAGGAUGACAUGCGAAUUCGUGAAGCGUUCCAUUUUUUG
RNAcentral lists this small nuclear RNA (107 nucleotides) under Chelydra serpentina (North American snapping turtle). The record is from RNAcentral. Lineage: Eukaryota; Metazoa; Chordata; Testudines; Chelydridae.